AACGAACGCUGGCGGCAGGCUUAACACAUGCAAGUCGAACGCCCCGCAAGGGGAGUGGCAGACGGGUGAGUAACGCGUGGGAAUCUACCCAGAUCUUCGGAACAACUGAGGGAAACUUCAGCUAAUACCGGAUACGCCCUACAGGGGGAAAGAUUUAUCGGUUCUGGAUGAGCCCGCGUUGGAUUAGCUAGUUGGUGGGG
Molecule: ribosomal RNA, 200 nt
Filed under: uncultured bacterium
Lineage: Bacteria
Description: partial 16S ribosomal RNA
Rfam family: Bacterial small subunit ribosomal RNA
Source: RNAcentral